ACAGUUUGAUUCUAGCUGCAUUGUCUGUGCGUGUGCGAAACCAGAUACAUGCAAGACCUUUCAUCCCCAUAAGUAGGGAGUACGAAGAAUAAUAAAACUUAAAGUUUGUUUAUCUUCAUACCUUCUCGCCGUUUCAGGGCUCCACCAACAACGCGCAUCUAACUUUAUGCCUGCAGUACUAAAUCCUGCAACAAGUAAGGCAACUUAGCUUCGAUUCCGCACACUUUAGGACCGGUAAAUUUUGUGCCAGCGACCGCGGUUUAACGAAAUGUCCAAAUAGAUUAAACCGGCAUCUGUGGUAAGUGACCAAGAUGACACCAAUUAAAAGUUUAAAGGGGUGCAAUCUGAUCAACUAUAAUUUUUCCACCUGUGUCAUUAACACAAACCCACGAAAGCUUAGACCAAAACCAGGAUUAGAUACCCAAUUAUUCUAAGCCUCUAACCACUGCCAGGGUAGUACGGACACACGUCUAAAACCCAAAGAAAUUGGCGGCAUUCUAACGUCUCAGGGGAAUCUGUCCUUUAAUCCGAUGAUCCGCGUAUAUCAUACUCUUCCUAGACACAACAAAUCAGCUUAUGUAUUGCCGUCUUAUCUGUUGACCCCUCAGGGGGAAAAAAGUCAGCUCAAAGGCUUGAUCAAUUCCCAAAUCAAGCCUCCAAGUCAGGUCAAAAUAUAGCCAAUGGAAGAGGAGAGAUGGAUUACAACUAUACCCACAACCCCGCAUCCCACAUGAAAUCGUGGUGAUAAAGCAGGACUUGAAAGUAAGAGCAUAUACAAAAUAAUACUCUGAAUUCAGCAUCUAGAAUGAGCACAAAUCGCCCGUCACCCUCGCCGAAAGGUGAGGUAAGUCGUAACAUGAGUGGGCGUAACGGAAGUUGCGCCC
This 884-nucleotide ribosomal RNA is filed under the name Paralvinella sulfincola. Its description in RNAcentral is "small subunit ribosomal RNA". The record is from RNAcentral. Lineage: Eukaryota; Metazoa; Annelida; Polychaeta; Terebellida; Alvinellidae.